This is a long non-coding RNA of Triticum aestivum (bread wheat), 1341 nucleotides long. RefSeq lists it as uncharacterized. The transcript has 5 exons. Lineage: Eukaryota; Viridiplantae; Streptophyta; Magnoliopsida; Poales; Poaceae. The record is from RefSeq and is a predicted model, not a curated record.
AUUGUGAUGGGUGCUGCUCAUUUUUCCAGUCCUUAUACGAAGUUGGAAUACAUCGGUGCCAUGGGCUGGGGUGCUACCUUUGUACAUGGGCCUCCCCCAUGGGUGCGUGAUGCGGGGACAUGAUGUGCCUCCUGGGCUAAUGUUACAGAUCGAUUUGCAUUUACCUCGUUAGAGUUAGACCUGUCAUCACCUUCUUCCUGGCGCACUGGACAUGGGACGGGGCCCCAUGGAUGGGAUGGAGUUCUUCUUCGAAGAUGACGAUUCAGGGUCGGAUGCAGGGUCUAUCUUACAGGGGGGAGUGGCUGCAGUGGAAUUGGCUGUUGCUUCUAUUCAUGGGGCUCGCACAGGCUAUGGAGAUUAGAUUUCUUCCCAUGCAAACAGUGGAGGAAUGGAGUCCGGAGAGAACGGAGGAGGACGGCACCCAGAAGAGACAAUCAUGACAGAGGAGAUUAUCGAUUCAUACAUCUGUGGUAGCGAGGUGGUAGCCGAUUCAAUGUCCCCUGAAAAUAUGAGCGGCCAAAGAAGAUGAGAUGCAGAGGGAGUGGUCGUCUCAAAAUCACAGGGCUCCUGCUGGACACGAAAGGAAGUUUACUUGUGAUCUAAUCUAUUAUUUUGUGACUCUGUAUAAUGGUAGCACAUAAUGGAGUAAACGAGUCUUCAUGUGAAAUUGACAAAAUUAGGAUCAGUUAGGAUGCAGAUGAGAGGGAGAACAAUCCCAGCAGAGUGCCUCCUGCGCUUGAGGCUUCGAUACGUUCUUAUGCUGAUAACAAGGCAGAUACUGUUGUUAAUCCAGCUAGCUUCGCUUCCGUCGAAGAAGUAUAUGAGUUUUACAACUUGUACUCUUUGGGAGACUGACUUUGGUGUCCGGUAUGCAAAGAGCCGACUCAAUGUCCAUGGGAUAAAGUGCAUGCAUGCGCGGGUAAACCACUGCAGUCCAAUAGCAGAUCAAAACGGUGUGGCUGCACUGCUAUGAUGUGGCUACUGAGAUCGGAUGAUAACGGUUCGUACGGGUGCGAGCAUAGGAUUGCGUCGCUGUGGGUCAUGAUCUUGAAGAGGGUUGCGGCCACUUCGACCCCUUGUUGGCGUUAAUCCCACCGAGCCAUGCAGCAAGUUAUGAAUCGAAGCACAUGUUCGACGAUAUUUGACGGCGCUGCGGCAACUGAUGGUGCAUGCUCUGAAGACGAAGAAGUCACGAACAAGCCUGCCAAAAAAGCCAGGAUAGUUUGACCGCCUAGUGUAGAUUUUAGAGCAGGAUUGGUUAGCCCUGUUUCAUAUCUUGUGCACGAUAUACUGGUGUGUGACUUGUCCUAGUAAUUGCCUAUGUAAUUGCGUUUAUCACUC